Molecule: transfer RNA, 73 nt
Filed under: Mus musculus (house mouse)
Lineage: Eukaryota; Metazoa; Chordata; Mammalia; Rodentia; Muridae
Rfam family: tRNA
About the family: Transfer RNA (tRNA) molecules are approximately 80 nucleotides in length.
Source: Rfam by way of RNAcentral
GGAGAGAAGGCUCAGUGGUUAAGAGCACUGGCUGCUCUUCCUGAGGACCUGAGUUCAAAUCCUGGUAUCUCCA